Molecule: non-coding RNA, 30 nt
Filed under: Mus musculus (house mouse)
Lineage: Eukaryota; Metazoa; Chordata; Mammalia; Rodentia; Muridae
Source: RNAcentral
UGACCAAAUGUUGCAAAGGUGCUUCUUGGC